Molecule: long non-coding RNA, 281 nt
Organism: Bacillus rossius redtenbacheri
Lineage: Eukaryota; Metazoa; Arthropoda; Insecta; Phasmatodea; Bacillidae
Exons: 2
Source: RefSeq, a predicted model, not a curated record
UUCACAGACAUGGGACGACAUUCUGUUCGGGUGGAGUCGUGCAUCUUCGAUUUUUUUUUUUGAAGUUCAUCACGUAUAGAUAAUAAAUAAACAGACAACAGUUGGGCAUAUGAAGAAAUGAACAUUAGCUUUCCCUAAACUCCAGUGGAUGGCACAUGUAUAUUGGCAAGGAUUUUAUCAAUCUUAUUUGUAACUGAUUGCAUUGAGUGUUGUUUAAGAACAAUUGAUGUACAUUAAAAUGUAAAAAGAUACCUCCUUAAAAUAAAAAUUGUUUCUCGAAA